CAAAAUUGAUACGAUCGCGCACUCGCCGGUAAUCGGCAUUACGGUAAAAUCGUAUCGCGGCGAGAAACAAAAUGGUCGACGCGCGACGCAGAACAGAACGAAUUUUACACAAAACGCGCGAUUGUCCGGCAAAAUUUUGAGCAAGCAGCGUUCUGAUCGCAAUAUAAACUACAGAGCGGAAUAAAGUGCAAUCAGAUAUGUAUAAUACCGCGAGUUGCCGCGCAUGUCAAUUCAAAGAUUGGGAUAGCGGCUUUGAACUCAGAAAAGGGAAUGUAAAAUGAAACAACGUGCAUUUGCAUACAAAAGAAGAAUUCAUCCAGAAGGAUAGCUAUCGAGAGGUAUGAAGAAAUCGGCCGUUCAGACGAAUAUAAACAAUGACUAACAAACAAUCACACGUGUCGAUCACUGUUAACGUCUGAUUCGCAAAUGAGAAAAUAAACACAGA
Molecule: long non-coding RNA, 445 nt
Organism: Pseudomyrmex gracilis
Lineage: Eukaryota; Metazoa; Arthropoda; Insecta; Hymenoptera; Formicidae
Exons: 3
Source: RefSeq, a predicted model, not a curated record